RNAcentral lists this transfer RNA (71 nucleotides) under Acidobacteriota bacterium. RNAcentral describes it as "Acidobacteria bacterium (groundwater metagenome) tRNA-His". It matches the Rfam family "tRNA". From Rfam's summary of the family: Transfer RNA (tRNA) molecules are approximately 80 nucleotides in length. Their secondary structure includes four short double-helical elements and three loops (D, anti-codon, and T loops). The record is from RNAcentral. Lineage: Bacteria; Pseudomonadati; Acidobacteriota.
UGGGGCGUCGUCCCGAGGUAGGACACAAGCCUAUGGAGCUUGGAACCUAGGUUCGAAUCCUAGCGCCCCAG